AUGCCUACAACGACUAUGAAUCUUUGCUCCUGGAACGUUAGGGGCCUGGGUGAUGCGGACAAAUGCAAUGAUGUUUUAUCUGAACUACUUUCUAUCAAACCGCACAUGUUGUUUCUCCAAGAAACUAAACUUGCAACUCCCUCUACUACAAAAAUUAGGUCCUUCCUGCCAACCUCCCUCGAUUUCUUCGCCACUCUACCUGCUACGGGCUCCGCGGGAUGCUUGCUCUCGGCCGCCAACACAAGCUCCAUUACCAUCACAAACCAUUCGAACCAUGGUUUCUGCUCAACCAUCACCUUCACCUCGCUCGCCCCCCCCUCACCCAUUUCCGUUACCAACGUCUACGGCCCGACCGUCAGAUUGGAAAAACAUAACUUCCUCGCUGAACUAAAAGCCAUAGCUCCCCCCGAAAACACCCCGUGGCUAAUCGUAGGUGACUUCAAUCUAAUCCGUUUCCCACACGAGAAAAACAACGACAACUUUCACCAACGGGAAUCUCGCCUCAUCAAUGAAACGAUCGAUGAACUAGCCCUUCUUGAGCUGCCCCUCCUGGAUCGGCAGUUCACGUGGUCAAAUAACAGAGAAACCCCGAUCCUCGAAAGACUCGACCGCGCCUUCUUUAACUUAGCUUGGAAUCAUGCUUUCCCCAACACCUCAUUAACCUCGCUCACUCGCGCCAUCUCCGAUCAUGUCCCACUAAUCAUCUCCGUAUCCACGGCCGUGCCUCGCUCCCGCCUUUUUCGAUUCGAAUGA
This 753-nucleotide ribosomal RNA is filed under the name Triticum aestivum (bread wheat). RNAcentral's name for it is "partial small subunit ribosomal RNA". The record is from RNAcentral. Lineage: Eukaryota; Viridiplantae; Streptophyta; Magnoliopsida; Poales; Poaceae.